This 491-nucleotide ribosomal RNA is filed under the name uncultured bacterium. RNAcentral describes it as "partial 16S ribosomal RNA". It matches the Rfam family "Bacterial small subunit ribosomal RNA", at positions 29 to 507 of the family's 1533-position model. The record is from RNAcentral.
GUGAACGCUGGCGGUAGGCCUAACACAUGCAAGUCGAACGGCAGCACAGUAAGAGCUUGCUCUUACGGGUGGCGAGUGGCGGACGGGUGAGGAAUACAUCGGAAUCUACUUUUUCGUGGGGGAUAACGUAGGGAAACUUACGCUAAUACCGCAUACGACCUACGGGUGAAAGCAGGGGAUCUUCGGACCUUGCGCGAUUGAAUGAGCCGAUGUCGGAUUAGCUAGUUGGCGGGGUAAAGGCCCACCAAGGCGACGAUCCGUAGCUGGUCUGAGAGGAUGAUCAGCCACACUGGAACUGAGACACGGUCCAGACUCCUACGGGAGGCAGCAGUGGGGAAUAUUGGACAAUGGGCGGAAGCCUGAUCCAGCCAUACCGCGUGGGUGAAGAAGGCCUUCGGGUUGUAAAGCCCUUUUGUUGGGAAAGAAAAGCAGCAGGUUAAUACCCCGCUGUUCUGACGGUACCCAAAGAAUAAGCACCGGCUAACUUCGUG